GAUGAACGCUGGCGGCGUGCUUAACACAUGCAAGUCGAACGAAGCUGCCCAAAGGAAGUUUUCGGAUGGAAUUUAGGUAGACUUAGUGGCGGACGGGUGAGUAACGCGUGGAUAACCUGCCUUAUACAGGGGGAUAACGGAGAGAAAUUUCCGCUAAGACCGCAUAAGACCACAGCACCGCAUGGUGCAGGGGUAAAAUAUUUAUAGGUAUAAGAUGGAUCCGCGUCCGAUUAGCUUGUUGGUGAGGUAGAGGCUCACCAAGGCGACGAUCGGUAGCCGGCCUGAGAGGGUGAACGGCCACAUUGGGACUGAGACACGGCCCAAACUCCUACGGGAGGCAGCAGUGGGGAAUAUUGGACAAUGGGAGGAACCCUGAUCCAGCGACGCCGCGUGAGUGAAGAAGUAUUUCGGUAUGUAAAGCUCUAUCAGCAGGGAAGAAAAUGACGUACCUGA
Molecule: ribosomal RNA, 453 nt
Filed under: Lachnospiraceae bacterium oral taxon 107
Lineage: Bacteria; Bacillati; Bacillota; Clostridia; Lachnospirales; Lachnospiraceae
Description: bacterial SSU rRNA
Rfam family: Bacterial small subunit ribosomal RNA
Source: RNAcentral